UGGGGAAUUUUGGACAAUGGGGGCAACCCUGAUCCAGCCAUCCCGCGUGUGCGAUGAAGGCCUUCGGGUUGUAAAGCACUUUUGGCAGGGAAGAAACAGCCUGGGAUAAUACCCCGGGUGACUGACGGUACCUGCAGAAUAAGCACCGGCUAACUACGUGCCAGCAGCCGCGGUAAUACGUAGGGUGCAAGCGUUAAUCGGAAUUACUGGGCGUAAAGCGUGCGCAGGCGGUUCGGAAAGAAAGGUGUGAAAUCCCAGGGCUUAACCUUGGAACUGCACUUUUAACUACCGAGCUAGAGUACGUCAGAGGGGGGUAGAAUUCCACGUGUAGCAGUGAAAUGCGUAGAGAUGUGGAGGAAUACCGAUGGCGAAGGCAGCCCCCUGGGAUGAUACUGACGCUCAUGCACGAAAGCGUGGGGAGCAAACAGGAUUAGAUACCCUGGUAGUCCACGCCCUAAAACGAUGUCAACUAGCUGUUGGGGUUUAUUAACCUUAGUAGCGCAGCUAACGCGUGAAGUUGACCGCCUGGGGAGUACGGUCGC
This 542-nucleotide ribosomal RNA is filed under the name uncultured bacterium. Its description in RNAcentral is "partial 16S ribosomal RNA". It matches the Rfam family "Bacterial small subunit ribosomal RNA", at positions 355 to 889 of the family's 1533-position model. The record is from RNAcentral.